CGCCAGCCAUGGGCCGCGGCUGGCCGGCUGGAGCGGCCCACCCUAGUGACGCCCAGGGGACCUUCCGCAGCCCUCCCUCAAAGGAAGGGAAGACAGCCAGGCACCACCUAGGAGGCCAAGACAGCGGGCGCAGAGGGAAGGCCGAAGGAAGUGGAGGAGGUGGAGGGACUUACUGCGGAGCUGACUUCCCGGGCGGGGAGAAGAUAAGAGGCGCAUCUGUUCGGGCAGAACCAGAGCGGCGCCCGCUGGAGCUGAGCCCUGCCUGCCGGGGUGUCCGGCACCCCCGUAACGAAAGUCAGCAUCUUCCACUCCAAAUCCUUUCCUUUCCCUGCCUUCCCUGUUGUUUGUCAAGGGCCCCACUGUCCCCACUAACCCGGACUCCUCACUCCCCCAUCGAAUUGCUCACCAGAUCUCUCCUCCGGGAAGGCCUCCAUCUAGGCGUGAAGCCCGUCCACGCCCAGGACCCCCUCACCUCUCACCCGGACCGCUUCGCAGCCUCUGAACCCCUCUCCCUGUGUCCACUCUGCCCUCCAUCCACCCGACAGACUCCACUCCCGCUCACAGCUCCGAUGCUGUCGCACCACUGCUCAACAGCUCCACUGGCUCCGACUGCCUGCAGACUUUUUUUCACCGUGUACCCACGGGCAUGUGGCUCCCCGCAAACUCGAGGACUCGUCACGCCCUACACGCGAGGCUGUGCCCUCCUUCAGGACAGAUGCUGUCUGUUUGUGCUCCUCCACAAACACCCCCACACAGUCCCCCCCCCCCCCCCCCCCGGGGAAAGGGUGUAUCCCUAGUCACUGACUUGAAUUACACUGAGCUAACUCCACCCCAGCUGGCCUGCCCAGGAUCACACCAAGCCACACCCUUCCUUCCCCCGCCCGGAGACCAGAUCCCCUUCCCACCAGGGACAACCCAAUUCACCCGGACUCCCCCGCCUAGAACCUGCCUGUGCGUGUAUGUUGGGGAGGGGGAGGCAGGCUCACUCUCUGCUCAUUUACCCUUUACCUCCCUCCGCUGUCGCCUGCUAAAUCACCUCCACGUGUCCUACCCUAAUGCAGGUGCCCAACACCUCACCAGCGGAUACAGCACGAUCCCCGACCGAGGCUCCCCCGUCUGGCCACUCCAGCGGCCAUUCGCACAGAGACACCCCCUUUGGCCAGAACACAACGCUUCUGUUCAAGAACUCACAACUCCUGGGGCGCCU
Molecule: RNA transcript, 1207 nt
Organism: Leopardus geoffroyi (Geoffroy's cat)
Lineage: Eukaryota; Metazoa; Chordata; Mammalia; Carnivora; Felidae
Exons: 6
Source: RefSeq, a predicted model, not a curated record